UGACUCAGGAAUCCAGUCCUUUCCAUCUUGCAGCUCUGCUAUUUCCAACAGGUGGCAUUCAGGUCAUCAAAGAAGAGGAAGACUGAAUGAUGAUGGCACAUUAGAUACUGCAACAACUCUUACCCCAAAAUGAGAUAAAUCACUUUUAUUUCGUGGUCCAUAAUUAGUUACAUGGCCCCAAUAAGAUACAGAGGGGUUGAGAAAUGAAGUGGCCAGAUAGCUGUUUCCCAGAAACAACCUAACCUAAUGGAAGGAGAGCAAAUAUCCUAGCUUUCUCUGCCACAGACUCCAAGGCCACCAAACCUCACUGCUUCUGAAUCAUGUAGGAGGAACAGCUAAACUGUAUGGUGCCAAAUUACAAGUCCGGAAAGAAGAUCAAAGGAUUCAGAGAUCAUAAGGUUGGAGCACAAAGAAGGAAACCCGAUUAGGGUGCUGAAAAGUGGAUAUGAAGAAGACAUUUCUGGCUGAGAAGAACCAGAGUAAACAUGCAGAAUUGGGAAGCCUGACACAUUUUUGUUGAAUCAAUUGACAAAAGAACUGACACCAGAUGGCCAAUCAACUCAAGAGAAAGAUUGCUUGGGUUGCUAUGAGGAAGAGGAGGAGUAAGGCCUGAUGUGGAAAGACCUUUGAGAAGAUGUUGAAAUGAGGCAGAGGAGGAGUUAGGCCUGAUGUGGAAAGACCCUUGAG
Molecule: long non-coding RNA, 687 nt
Organism: Gorilla gorilla gorilla (western lowland gorilla)
Lineage: Eukaryota; Metazoa; Chordata; Mammalia; Primates; Hominidae
Exons: 3
Source: RefSeq, a predicted model, not a curated record